UUGGGCUGUUCGCCCAUUAAAGCGGUACGCGAGCUGGGUUCAGAACGUCGUGAGACAGUUCGGUCCCUAUCCGUCGUGGGCGUAGGAAAUUUGAGAGGAGCUGUCCUUAGUACGAGAGGACCGGGAUGGACAUACCUCUGGUGUACCAGUUGUCGUGCCAACGGCAUAGCUGGGUAGCUAUGUGUGGACGGGAUAAGUGCUGAAAGCAUCUAAGCAUGAAGCCCCCCUCAAGAUGAGAUUUCCCAACUUCGGUUAUAAGAUCCCUCAAAGAUGAUGAGGUUAAUAGGUUCGAGGUGGAAGCAUGGUGACAUGUGGAGCUGACGAAUACUAAUCGAUCGAAGACUUAAUCAA
Molecule: ribosomal RNA, 351 nt
Filed under: Staphylococcus aureus
Lineage: Bacteria; Bacillati; Bacillota; Bacilli; Caryophanales; Staphylococcaceae
Description: partial 23S ribosomal RNA
Rfam family: Bacterial large subunit ribosomal RNA
Source: RNAcentral